Molecule: unclassified non-coding RNA, 3875 nt
Filed under: Hevea brasiliensis (rubber tree)
Lineage: Eukaryota; Viridiplantae; Streptophyta; Magnoliopsida; Malpighiales; Euphorbiaceae
Source: RNAcentral
CAAACGACUCGGCGUUUUAACCUAAACGAUCAGUCAUUUUACUUUCUGUGAAAUAAAGUUAAAGCAACGAGGCUGACCAGCUUGAUAGCUCCCCUUCCUCUGAGAAAUUGCGAAAUCAACCAACAGAGGCGGCGAAUAGAAAUGAGCAGGAGCAACGUAAAUUUAGUGUUCUACGCUGAUUCAUAUCAUCCGAUUCAAGUAGGAAGCAUCGACGGCACCGAUAUUGUCCCCCACGACAACGGCGUUUACCGUGCUUUGCUCUGCUCCUCUGCUGGCCUCUAUGAUCCCUUCGGCGACCCCAAGGUUAUUGGCGACCCUUAUUGCACAGUUUUCGUAGGUCGCCUCUCUCAUUCAACCACCGAACACACUCUUCGCAAGGCUAUGAGCAAGUACGGUCGAGUGAAGAACUUGCGCUUGGUCAGGGACAUUGUAACUGGUGCCUCUCGUGGCUAUGCUUUUGUUGAAUAUGAAACUGAAAGAGAGAUGCGUCGUGCAUACAAGGUUCUGAGACACUCUGGUGUUUUUUUUUUUUUUCUUGUCUUGCUGAACAAUGUUCAACUGCUUAAUUUGUAGCUAUGAAAAUUUUUGCUGCUUAGUACAUUACAUAAUUAUGUUUCAUAGUAGGAUGUCAUGCUGAGAUAUGAAUGCUCCAUAUAUGCACAUCCCAUAAAGAUAUGUAAUUUUGGGCGUCCGUGUUUUCAAUUUAGCAAAUAAGAGUAUAAAUAAAGGAUUUUUACUGGGUUUAGGUUUUUAUCUUUUGUGGCUUUUUUGGCACGUGUUUGAGUGCACCAGGAAUUCACCAUGUCAACCAUUGAACAAUCUUCCUUGUUAGUUUUCCUAGUUCUUUAGGUGUUCAUCAUUGUCAAUUUCUUUGUGCUGAACUUGGGUGGUUAGAUUGGAUUAGUUAUAGCAACUAUAGUGUAAUUUCUUCUUUUUUUUUUUUCACUUCAUUUUUUGAUAUUACUAUGUUAAAAGUUUUUGUGUGCCCUUAUAAAAUUAGAAAUCAUGUGCAUUAUGACCCACUUGUGUGUAUGUCUCUAUAUUAAAAUCUCUUUUCCAUUUCCUCCCCUAUGACCUGCUGAGAAAACUAGAAAUAUUUGUGUUUGAGAAUGGGUCUUAAAAUAAGUUAGUAUUGGUUAUAGUGGAAGUCGAUGAAGUCUUUAGAAGAUUUUUAUUCAUUGGGAUGCAUAUUGUGGAAGAAAAGUAGAGCAGCAAGUAGUCAACGUGUUGCGGCAUUCUCUGGAUCCUUUGAGGGUGUCUCUCCAUGUAAGAUGAAUUAUUUCAAUUGAUAACUCCAUUUGUAGUUUUGCAAAAUUUGGAUAGGCUGAGUGCAUUUUAUAGAUUGAAUAUUGUAGAAUAAGUGGAAAUUAUUUACUAAGGCACAUGAGCCUCCAGACCUACAUUUUUCCAUUUUAAUCAAUCAAGCAAAAGAAGGCCUUAUUUCUUUGUUUCUUGGACAUUAUUAUGGUGUUAGGCAGAGGACAUGCGAUACUGGAAAAUGCUUUAACAUCCGAAACAUAUCAAUCAUGUGUUAAAUUGGUUCCAUGCUUGUGAUGAUGUACCAUGGGGUGCAGUCAUCUUGGUUGCUAUUUUUAUGGAGUCUCUGUUGAAUAUAUCUAAAAAUGAACUUGUCGGUUAUGCAGGAUGCUCAUCAUACCUUCAUUGAUGACUCUGAAAUAAUAGUUGAUUAUAACAGGCAGCAGUUGAUGCCUGGCUGGAUCCCAAGAAGGUUAGGUCAGUUAAAUAAAUUUUGUUUCUAAAAACAUUGUUGACAAUACAUAUCAAACUGAGAAGCAUUCCUAGCCCACCAAGAGAAAUUGGUAGUUUCUUGUUCUUGGUCAUGAUUGGCUAAAGAUAAAGUUCAAUUAAAGAGCAUCUCCAUGGGAUAGAACCUCCUGUCAUGAUAUUGUUCAUCUUGUGGUAAUUGUACAAGAAAUAACAGGAAUGUGGCGCAAAUCAUGAUUUGGGAUUUUCUUUCUCAUUGGGAACCUUUCUUCUUUGUUUUCGUUGUCUUUCCAAACAGGAGGUGGCCUUGGUGGUAGGAAGGAGUCUGGACAGCUUCGGUUUGGUGGGCGAGAACGACCAUUUAGAGCUCCUUUGUAUGUAGCAUUCACUUUUUUUUUUAUGUAUUUUGCAGCAUUUAUUAUUAUGUAGGCUUGUUUUUUCUGCAAUCAUUUCAAUUUGAUUUUGAUUGCUUAUUGGAUCAAACAUUGCAUCAAAGCUUUGUGUUGGAUUAUAUAUCUGAUGGUGGAAUGAGAUCGGGAGCAGAUUAGCAGGACCUCUAAUCCUGGAAUACAAGAAGUUGAAGGAUGAUCAUACUUUUUUUCAUGGGUGACCUGUGACCAUAGUUGCAUUGGCCUUAAAGUUCCUGUAGACUGGAAAACAAUAUGAUGCGCCAAACAUAGAGGAUGAUGACUUUAUAAUUGGAUAAAGCAGUAGAAAAUGGAUUCAUUUGUUUUUAUUUCAUUAUCUGCUCCAUCAUCUCCACCUCCCAUCAUUAUUUGGAUGCUUCAUUUUGUCUUGAAGACAAGGUCUUUUUAUUUAGGCCCUGCUUGGUUAGCUUGCUUUUUUGCCUUUUGCUGUAACAAGUAAUGUUUAGUUGGAUAAGUAGUUGAAGUUGAUUGUUGUAAAUCCUUAGGUAUUGUAGCUGUAGGAUGGAAACUUGUGCUUCUCAUUUAUAAAUUUACUGAUGGAAUAUCAUCUACCACAAGGCAGGCAAUCAAUUCCUUUUGAUGAUUUGAAGAGGCUUGGCAUUCCUCCUCCACCAGAAGGAAGUUACAUGUCCCGUUUUCAGGUAUCGUGCUUAUUACCUGCAUCAUUUAAUUAUCCAAUAAUUUUGGAUAUUUCCUUUUGUUGAUUUUUCUUCAAAACUCUCUGUACUAUCAAAUAAUCAUCUUGAAUAACACCUUGAAUUUUGCACUGGAAAUAAUUACAUAGUGCCUUUUACUAAAAACCUACUAAGCAAAUGGGCUAGUCCCCUCAUUUCUCACUUGUUGUUUAGGUCCCAUCUCCCCCUAGAAGAAAUCGGAGCUCCAUAGACAGGGAAGAAAGCUCUCACGUUAGGAGUUCUAUUGACAAAGAAGAACGCAGUCACAGAAGUAGCUCUCUGGAGAGGGAAGAACGCUACAACACAAGGAGCUCUAGGGACAAGGAAGAACGCUAUGGCAAAAGUCACUCCGAGGAGAGGAAAGAACGUUACCGUAAAGGGAGCCCUGUGGAUAGGGAGGAUCAUCAUUAUGAAAGGAGCUCUCUGGACAGGGAAAAAUACAAUCAGAAAAGAAGCCCUGCUUACAGGGAAGAAACUCUUCACAAAACAGAUGCGGAAGAGUACUCCCACAGAAGUUCUAGGGAUCGGGAAGAAGGCUCUUACAAGCGCCACAGGCAUAAUAGUGGGUCUGACAGACACAAAAAGAGGCGAUCCGCUGCUCGGGAUCACUCUGAUCGCUAAUUUUUCACAGGUUGACUGAAUAUGUACAUUGCACUCUUCUUCUUCUUCCUUUUUGGGAAUCUGAGGGGUUUACUGUCCACUAGUUGAGCUGUAUUGAAAUAUUUAAGUUGGUUAUGUAAUCUUUUUGUGAGAUUCUUAUAACCUGUUUAACUGGCAAUGCCGCAACAGGGUGGCAGUUAGCUUGAUCAAUCUAUCUGCUAUGGUAAGGAUAGGGAACAGGUAGGGAUUGGAGGAUGAUAAAUAGGAGAGAGUGGAGCUUUGGGGUUGGAUGUUUGGUGAGGGAGCUGUGGCUGUAGUCCUAGGUUUGAACAAUCUACAUCAACAAUUAGACCGUGAAAUUUUGGAUCUUUUACCAGCAGUUGCUUAUCUAGAUAUUUUAGCCAGGGAAUGAAUAUCAAUAAAUGGACAAAUGAAAUUUUCAUCUAGC